GGGUUGUGAGGUUAAGCGACUAAGCGUACACGGUGGAUGCCCUGGCAGUCAGAGGCGAUGAAGGACGUGCUAAUCUGCGAUAAGCGUCGGUAAGGUGAUAUGAACCGUUAUAACCGGCGAUUUCCGAAUGGGGAAACCCAGUGUGUUUCGACACACUAUCAUUAACUGAAUCCAUAGGUUAAUGAGGCGAACCGGGGGAACUGAAACAUCUAAGUACCCCGAGGAAAAGAAAUCAACCGAGAUUCCCCCAGUAGCGGCGAGCGAACGGGGAGGAGCCCAGAGCCUGAAUCAGUGUGUGUGUUAGUGGAAGCGUCUGGAAAGGCGCGCGAUACAGGGUGACAGCCCCGUACACAAAAAUGCACAUACUGUGAGCUCGAUGAGUAGGGCGGGACACGUGGUAUCCUGUCUGAAUAUGGGGGGACCAUCCUCCAAGGCUAAAUACUCCUGACUGACCGAUAGUGAACCAGUACCGUGAGGGAAAGGCGAAAAGAACCCCGGCGAGGGGAGUGAAAAAGAACCUGAAACCGUGUACGUACAAGCAGUGGGAGCCUCUUUAUGGGGUGACUGCGUACCUUUUGUAUAAUGGGUCAGCGACUUAUAUUCUGUAGCAAGGUUAACCGAAUAGGGGAGCCGAAGGGAAACCGAGUCUUAACUGGGCGUUAAGUUGCAGGGUAUAGACCCGAAACCCGGUGAUCUAGCCAUGGGCAGGUUGAAGGUUGGGUAACACUAACUGGAGGACCGAACCGACUAAUGUUGAAAAAUUAGCGGAUGACUUGUGGCUGGGGGUGAAAGGCCAAUCAAACCGGGAGAUAGCUGGUUCUCCCCGAAAGCUAUUUAGGUAGCGCCUCGUGAAUUCAUCUCCGGGGGUAGAGCACUGUUUCGGCAAGGGGGUCAUCCCGACUUACCAACCCGAUGCAAACUGCGAAUACCGGAGAAUGUUAUCACGGGAGACACACGGCGGGUGCUAACGUCCGUCGUGAAGAGGGAAACAACCCAGACCGCCAGCUAAGGUCCCAAAGUCAUGGUUAAGUGGGAAACGAUGUGGGAAGGCCCAGACAGCCAGGAUGUUGGCUUAGAAGCAGCCAUCAUUUAAAGAAAGCGUAAUAGCUCACUGGUCGAGUCGGCCUGCGCGGAAGAUGUAACGGGGCUAAACCAUGCACCGAAGCUGCGGCAGCGACGCUUAUGCGUUGUUGGGUAGGGGAGCGUUCUGUAAGCCUGCGAAGGUGUGCUGUGAGGCAUGCUGGAGGUAUCAGAAGUGCGAAUGCUGACAUAAGUAACGAUAAAGCGGGUGAAAAGCCCGCUCGCCGGAAGACCAAGGGUUCCUGUCCAACGUUAAUCGGGGCAGGGUGAGUCGACCCCUAAGGCGAGGCCGAAAGGCGUAGUCGAUGGGAAACAGGUUAAUAUUCCUGUACUUGGUGUUACUGCGAAGGGGGGACGGAGAAGGCUAUGUUGGCCGGGCGACGGUUGUCCCGGUUUAAGCGUGUAGGCUGGUUUUCCAGGCAAAUCCGGAAAAUCAAGGCUGAGGCGUGAUGACGAGGCACUACGGUGCUGAAGCAACAAAUGCCCUGCUUCCAGGAAAAGCCUCUAAGCAUCAGGUAACAUCAAAUCGUACCCCAAACCGACACAGGUGGUCAGGUAGAGAAUACCAAGGCGCUUGAGAGAACUCGGGUGAAGGAACUAGGCAAAAUGGUGCCGUAACUUCGGGAGAAGGCACGCUGAUAUGUAGGUGAAGCGACUUGCUCGUGGAGCUGAAAUCAGUCGAAGAUACCAGCUGGCUGCAACUGUUUAUUAAAAACACAGCACUGUGCAAACACGAAAGUGGACGUAUACGGUGUGACGCCUGCCCGGUGCCGGAAGGUUAAUUGAUGGGGUUAGCGGUAACGCGAAGCUCUUGAUCGAAGCCCCGGUAAACGGCGGCCGUAACUAUAACGGUCCUAAGGUAGCGAAAUUCCUUGUCGGGUAAGUUCCGACCUGCACGAAUGGCGUAAUGAUGGCCAGGCUGUCUCCACCCGAGACUCAGUGAAAUUGAACUCGCUGUGAAGAUGCAGUGUACCCGCGGCAAGACGGAAAGACCCCGUGAACCUUUACUAUAGCUUGACACUGAACAUUGAGCCUUGAUGUGUAGGAUAGGUGGGAGGCUUUGAAGUGUGGACGCCAGUCUGCAUGGAGCCGACCUUGAAAUACCACCCUUUAAUGUUUGAUGUUCUAACGUUGGCCCCUGAUCGGGGUUGCGGACAGUGUCUGGUGGGUAGUUUGACUGGGGCGGUCUCCUCCUAAAGAGUAACGGAGGAGCACGAAGGUUGGCUAAUCCUGGUCGGACAUCAGGAGGUUAGUGCAAUGGCAUAAGCCAGCUUGACUGCGAGCGUGACGGCGCGAGCAGGUGCGAAAGCAGGUCAUAGUGAUCCGGUGGUUCUGAAUGGAAGGGCCAUCGCUCAACGGAUAAAAGGUACUCCGGGGAUAACAGGCUGAUACCGCCCAAGAGUUCAUAUCGACGGCGGUGUUUGGCACCUCGAUGUCGGCUCAUCACAUCCUGGGGCUGAAGUAGGUCCCAAGGGUAUGGCUGUUCGCCAUUUAAAGUGGUACGCGAGCUGGGUUUAGAACGUCGUGAGACAGUUCGGUCCCUAUCUGCCGUGGGCGCUGGAGAACUGAGGGGGGCUGCUCCUAGUACGAGAGGACCGGAGUGGACGCAUCACUGGUGUUCGGGUUGUCAUGCCAAUGGCACUGCCCGGUAGCUAAAUGCGGAAGAGAUAAGUGCUGAAAGCAUCUAAGCACGAAACUUGCCCCGAGAUGAGUUCUCCCUGAGACUUAGAGUCUCCUGAAGGAACGUUGAAGACGACGACGUUGAUAGGCCGGGUGUGUAAGCGCAGCGAUGCGUUGAGCUAACCGGUACUAAUGAACCGUGAGGCUUAACCUUACAACGCCGAAG
RNAcentral lists this ribosomal RNA (2926 nucleotides) under Escherichia coli. RNAcentral describes it as "23S ribosomal RNA". It matches the Rfam family "Bacterial large subunit ribosomal RNA". The record is from RNAcentral. Lineage: Bacteria; Pseudomonadati; Pseudomonadota; Gammaproteobacteria; Enterobacterales; Enterobacteriaceae.